UCCAUAUGAAACAAAGAAAUCACUUAAUAGGAUGAUACAGAAAAGAUUAGCAUGGCCUCUGUGCAAGGAAGACAUGCAAACUGGUGAAGCGUUCCAUAUUUGU
Molecule: small nuclear RNA, 103 nt
Organism: Ochotona princeps (American pika)
Lineage: Eukaryota; Metazoa; Chordata; Mammalia; Lagomorpha; Ochotonidae
Source: Ensembl